GGCAGAAAGUUUGAGGGCACCAACGUUACCUAUAAAUGUCAAAUAGUUACAGACAUUGCUAGAUAAAGUUCUAAUGCCAUUACAAACUCCAUGUUUGUCCUUUGUAAUUUCUUGCUCAACAAAAAAAGCUCUACAUGGAUGAUGGAUGGGAGAAAUUGCUUUGCAUGUUUUAUGGAAGCCUACAAUCCAGUCACCUUUGUUGUUUCGAAAGACUCCUCCAAGUCCUACCCUGCUACUGUUGUUAUCAAAAGCACCAUCACAGUUUAAUUUAAUAAAGCCUUUGUCAGGCUUUAUCCAACUAAUUUCUACAUUGAUUGUUCUUUCCACAAAAGGAUUUCUUUCAGUGAAGAAAGUAAAUUCCCAAGAUGCAUGUAUGACCUUUCUUAUAUCCAGGUUGUUAUUUAAGUUGUUGAUGUUAUUAUUGUUCCUGUUUUUUCAUAGUUCCCAUAUACAAUAGGGAAAUAUAGUAAUCCACUUUUCAGAAAUUGUAAUUUUUAAUAAAGAAAUUUUGUUAAGUUUGCUA
This is a non-coding RNA of Nicotiana tabacum (common tobacco), 523 nucleotides long. NCBI's taxonomy places the organism in Eukaryota, Viridiplantae, Streptophyta, Magnoliopsida, Solanales, Solanaceae. The record is from RefSeq and is a predicted model, not a curated record.